ACUCCUACGGGAGGCUGCAGUCGAGAAUCUUUCGCAAUGCCCGAAACGGUGACGACGCGACGCCGCGUGCGGGAAGAAGGCCUUUGGGUUGUAAACCGCUGUGGGGCGUAAAGAAAUGCAAGGAUGUUAAUAGCAUCUUUGUUUGACUAAGGCUCCGGAGGAAGCCACGGCUAACUCUGUGCCAGCAGCCGCGGUAAUACA
Molecule: ribosomal RNA, 201 nt
Filed under: uncultured bacterium
Lineage: Bacteria
Description: partial 16S ribosomal RNA
Rfam family: Bacterial small subunit ribosomal RNA
Source: RNAcentral